CAUUAGAUGACUGAAAAGCCAAGUAUUGGUCUCUUAAACCAUAUAAUAGUAAUCUAGCACUUACUUCUAAUGA
RNAcentral lists this transfer RNA (73 nucleotides) under Onthophagus tricornis. RNAcentral's name for it is "tRNA-Lys". The record is from RNAcentral. Lineage: Eukaryota; Metazoa; Arthropoda; Insecta; Coleoptera; Scarabaeidae.